GACGGAGGGUGCUAGCGUUGUUCGGAAUCACUGGGCGUAAAGGGCGCGUAGGCGGCCAGGCAAGUCGGCUUGUGAAAGCCCGGGGCUCAACCCCGGAGGUGCGGCCGGGACUGCUUGGCUGGAGGCCGGAAGAGGAGGGUGGAAUACCCAGUGUAGAGGUGAAAUUCGUAGAUAUUGGGAAGAACACUAGUGGCGAAGGCGGCUAACUGGUCCAGAUCUGACGCUGAGGUGCGAAAGCGUGGGGAGCAAACAGG
Molecule: ribosomal RNA, 254 nt
Filed under: uncultured bacterium
Lineage: Bacteria
Description: partial 16S ribosomal RNA
Rfam family: Bacterial small subunit ribosomal RNA
Source: RNAcentral